RNAcentral lists this non-coding RNA (24 nucleotides) under Arabidopsis thaliana (thale cress). Lineage: Eukaryota; Viridiplantae; Streptophyta; Magnoliopsida; Brassicales; Brassicaceae. The record is from RNAcentral. RNAcentral also lists the same sequence under 1 other name.
CGGAGGUAGGGUCCAGCGGCUGGA